GAUGCUGUGAAUGCGCUCGGUCAUCCCCUUGCAACUGAUGUCACCUGCAGCAUGUCAACGCAGACACAAAACAGGGCAUGGGUCAGAUCUAGCUGGCUGCAUUCCUAACACCUAGGUUUCAGAGUAAAAAUAUAGAGUCAGCCUGUGAUGGCAUUCCCUCGAAACAUGGAAGGAACUGCAGUAAUGAAAGUCAUCAUGUAUUCUAAGUGACUGUUCUGCGAGAGCACAACACAGAUGGGGCUAAAGCAGGGAUUGUCUAAGCCCAGGGUGGAGGAACCAUCAAGGAUUUCAGCACGUUUUUUUAGCCAUUGUACAGUUUGUGAAAAUUAAGUUUCACUCUGUGAAUAAAGAAUUGGAUAGAUAAUUCCAGACAACAUUCUGAAAGACACUUACGCCCUCAUUCCAAAGUUGAAAUGAAAUGAGGGGGAGAAGACCUGCUGGGACUAAGGAAAAAAGUCAAUGAAAUCUGAGUGAGAAGCAAAAGUGCUCAGGAGUUAAGAGAAGCAAACGUCCGAAAUUAUCUCCAUGCAUUACUAAAAACUGUGGGCACCACGGCACGGGGAAAACUUACCAGGUACAAUGAGCCAGUGACUGUUACUGAAUUUCUUAAGAUUACACUUUUCCCAACUACUGCAGACUGCUUCAGAAUAGAAGAAGACAACUCUCAAGCCAUCAAGUCGACUGACUUUCAAAAAAAUAAAAGAUGCAUUUCUUUACUUGUAAGUAUUUGUCUUUGCAAAGGGCUCUCUGAUAUGGUAGCACAGAAGUUUGCACAUUCUAAGGAUCUGAUGUUUUGCCCUCUUCGGGUAUCCCGGCUGGAAGGAGCUAUGGUGAAAGGGCACCUAAGGUGAAUGGACAGAUUGUAGAUGGGUGCACAUAGGAAAAUGUACAGCUCCUACAAUGUAUUCUGAGCUUUACUAAGGGAAUUAAUUAUCUGGAAGAACAGGAACAUACAGGCCCAUGAGAAGGAAAAGCAAGCACUGGCAUUCUGCACAGAUGAAAUACUUCCUACGACAGAAAUACAUGCUCACUUGUGGACUUCUCUGUAGUUUGUAGGCAACAUCAGGUCCUGAUUUCUACGUCUGGAUCUGGGUUCUCUGUAGCACAGGAAGGUCUGUACUUCUCCUACAUAAAUGCCUUGCAUGGCGGGAACUAAAUCAACUACACAGACCCAUACAUCCAGAGAGCAGAGGUGAGCUGGAUACAGUGGCUUAGAGAUGUGGUGGAAGGAGCCCAGAGCUCCAAGGGAAGGGCAGCAAGGAGACAACAGCAUGGGUUGCAGCUCAGACAACAGGUAAAUAAAACCAAGCAAAGCUGCUGGUCACAGAUUUGACCAGGGUGGCAAGAAAUGACAAGCUACGGUGAGAUUCAACAGUGGCACAGAAGGAUGAUGAGAAGCAAACAGAUUAGGAGGAGCUGCCACCACCGUAGGCAGAGGCACAGAUGACCAAGCAGAACAGCACCAGUCCCUGCAAGGUGUGCUCAGAUACAGCUCGGCACAGCCAUCUGGCCAGGAGGGAAUGAUACUGCACAUGGCGUGCAUUGCAGCUGGGAAGUUGAGAACCGCCGUGGGCACCUCAGGACCAAGUCUGGUUACCCUGCUGAUCCAAGAAAUGAAGCCAUCUAAAAUUUUGCCUGCUUUUACAGUUUUCUGUGUGUGUGUGUGUGUGUGUGUGUGCGCGCGUGUGUGUAUUAAACAAAGUGAACU
RNAcentral lists this non-coding RNA (1708 nucleotides) under Pongo abelii (Sumatran orangutan). Lineage: Eukaryota; Metazoa; Chordata; Mammalia; Primates; Hominidae. The record is from RNAcentral.